Non-coding RNA from Drosophila melanogaster (fruit fly), 800 nucleotides. Lineage: Eukaryota; Metazoa; Arthropoda; Insecta; Diptera; Drosophilidae. The record is from Ensembl.
GUGAUGCUAAUCAUAGAAAAUGGAAACCAGCCCGGAUUACAUAAUGCGAGAAGUGAGAAGAAAUUAGCUGCAGCCAACAAGAUGCCCCAUCGAUACCAAAGAUUCGUGAAACAUGUCAACUGUCAUGAUGCCUGACACUUGCCGCACAACAUUUGUCUCUAUUUCCCUGGCUCCACUGGCCAAUUAUCGUUUAUUUAUACUGUAAUCUGUGGGUCGCGCAGCGUGAAACUGUGAACUGGAUUUCGAAUUGAUAUGCAGAUGCUAUUGCUGGGGAGAAAUUUGACUGAAUUAUUUGAUAAAAAUGCAGUUUCCCCCGAUUGGGCUCACAGCAGGUGCCACGGCAGACUUAUUAGCCUCUCGAAUGUUGCAUAAGGUGCACCUCAACCUGGUGGCCGCCCAGAAAAACCAUCAAAAGCUGCUCCUCCCGAACAUCUAAAGCAGGCCUCGUCAGAACAGAACAGAGAAUCCCUUUUUCAGGCAUCGGAAAAAAUGCUCAAAUGCUGGCUCAAUUCUGUGUAGGAAGCACCUGAAUAUGCUCCUCUUUCCCAAGCCCACCUCCAUUCCCAUCCUCAGCCUGCUGUCGUGUACAGUAGCCGCAAGCACAUGUCAGACAAGGAACUGGAAGCGGGCUACAAGGAACACGAGUUGAGGUCCCCGGCUAAUGGCUUUCUGGCUUCGAAAGUCGCGAGUUUCAGUUGCCAGAUGAGCUGGGAGUCCAACAAUCGAGGCGUAUUCACAUUUUUUGCUUAUGCAAUGAUAAUAAAAACGCAGCAUGCGAGGCGGACUGCGAAAUAUAAAUG